This 403-nucleotide ribosomal RNA is filed under the name uncultured bacterium. RNAcentral's name for it is "partial 16S ribosomal RNA". It matches the Rfam family "Bacterial small subunit ribosomal RNA", at positions 28 to 526 of the family's 1533-position model. The record is from RNAcentral.
GACGAACGCUGGCGGCGUGCCUAAUACAUGCAAGUCGAACGCAGUGGGGACGGGUGAGUACCACGUGGGUAACCUCGCAUCAGAGGGGAUAACCCUUGGCAAAAGGUGCUAAACCGAUACUGAUGGAUGGACCCGCGGUGCAUUGGCUAGUUGGUGGGGUAACGGCUCACCAAGGCCAUGAUGCAUAGCGGGCCUGAGAGGGUGAUCGGCCACACGGGGACUGAGACACGGUCCAGACGCCGACGGGAGGCAGCAGUGGGGAAUAUUGGGCAAUGGACGAAAGUCUGACCGAGCAAUGCCGCGUGAGUGAAGAAGGCCUGCGGAUCGUAAAACACUGUUGCUAGGGAAGCGUUAUCUAAACAGAAAGCCCCGGCUAACUCCGUGCCAGCAGCCGCGGUAAUUC